Long non-coding RNA from Cynocephalus volans (Philippine flying lemur), 1328 nucleotides. RefSeq lists it as uncharacterized. Lineage: Eukaryota; Metazoa; Chordata; Mammalia; Dermoptera; Cynocephalidae. The transcript is spliced from 3 exons. The record is from RefSeq and is a predicted model, not a curated record.
GUCAGCCCUCCGGGCGUGAGUUUCCUUCUAUCUAGAUUAGGUGUGUGCACCGCAGUCCCCAGCGCUUUCAUACCCGGUGUCCGGGAACCUCUACAGACCUUAAAAUACGCUCACCGCUCUCUCCACCGAUUGACUUCUAAAGACACAUGUUAUCUAAGGUAGAAGCUGGGAAAAGAAGGAAGAGGAAUGAAAAGGAGUCAGGAAUGGCUCUUACUCAGAGUCCUUUGACAUUCAGGGACGUGGCCAUAGAAUUCUCUCAAAAGGAGUGGAGAUACUUGGACCCUUCUCAGAAGGCUUUGUACAGGGACAUGAUGUUGGAGAACUGAGAACUACAGGAACCUCAUCUUCCUCGGUGAGGAUAACUUCCCUGCAGACGUCAGGAAUCUGCCCUUGAGUAUCUUUGCAUUUUCCCUUGAGUGCCUCUUCGGAGCCCCUGCAUUGCUUGACUGAGAUUUAACCUUUGGUGAUUCGGAAAUGAAAAGCUUCCUCAUGCUGGAUCUGGACUUUGUCUCCACUUUUCAGAAGUUCUCCCUGCUUCAUUAUACAUCACUGAGUGGUUCUGGAAUUUAAGUAUUUGUAAAAUCUUAUAGUAGACUUUUAAAAUAUGCAUUUCCUUGUUUCCUACCGCUGUGGUUUUGAUUCAGUGGUUCUUGGAAGAGAACUAGAUAUUUACAUAUUACAUUGUUCCCUAAACAUUCAGAAGGAGGUGAUCAGUGAUGAAUUUAUGAGAUAUUUUUUCUAGAUCCAUUGGUAAAAUCCUCAUUCCUUAGGUCAGCAUAGAGUUGGGAUUCCAGAAGAGGCAAAACACAUAAUAUUUCUUUCUUUUUUUUUUUUUUUUGUCGUUUUUUCAUGACCGGCACUCAGCCAGUGAGUGCACUGGUCAUUCCUAUAUAGGAUCCGAACCCGCGGCGGGAGCGUCGCCGCGCUCCCAGCGCAGCACGCUACCGAGUGCGCCACGGGCUCGGCCCAUAUUUCUUUCUUUUUAUGAGCAGGAAUCUGUCUUCCUGACCUCUGUGUUAUCUCCAUGUUGGAGCAAGGGAAAGAGCCCUGGACUGUGCAGAACCGAGUGAAAAUAGCAAGAAACCCAAAUGGUUGGGAAAACAGUGACGUUGUGAUCACAGGAAAGAGCUCAGAUAGGCAGAGAGGAAGCCACACCAUGAAAUAAUAUUUAGGAAACUCUCCACAAGAGGGAGAUUUCUCUGGGAAAACAUGUUUAUAUCCUGUGAGUUCUCAAAGGGAAUCUUUUUUUAUUGCCCCAUUUAUCACUCUGUUCUUCAGAUGUGUAGUAGAUUAUCAUUUUGCCCUCCAGUGGUGUUGCAGCUCAGAGA